GACACUCAACCAUUUCCCGAUGCUGCUGGGAGGUGGGCAGCUGGCAGCCUCUCCGUUCGCCCGCCCACCCGGGGGCACUGGAGCCCCCACCUCAGACCUGCGGCCGCCCAGGCUGGAGGGGGGCCGCCUGGUUCCGGCCAUUCCAGGAGCCAUCCCUGCCCCAGGCCCAGCAGGCAGCAAGGAGGGGAGGGUGGUGGCCAGCGGGCGGCGGGCAGGGCUCCAGGGCCCCAGCACCACAGCCCCACUGCAGAGGAGCCGGCCAGGCUCAGGACCCGGGUGCUGUCGGGUUCUCUUGGGCCUUGGCUCUGUAACAGGGUCCACUUCAUGCUUGGAACAUGGCCCUGGGUGUCUGCCACUGGGACCUAUUUUUGCAGUGGAGAUGUUUCUCUCCCUCCUCCUCCCUAAUCCCUCCCUCCUCCUGGCUAGUGGGGGGAAAGGGUUCCUUCCCGUCCUAGGCCGACUUAUCUGUCCUUGAGUGCACACCACCACAGGAACCAAGCAAUUCAGACUUGGGGAUGGCACCGGAGGAUCUCAGAAAUGACUGUCUCCCGAGCUAGCAAGUGAAUCAACUCCGACAGAACGUGUGGAAUGUGGCUCUGAACCGCCUCCUUAGGAGCCCUGCUCCCUUGAUGGGCAGAACCACAGCCUGGGAAAGCAGUCCUCUGUGCCUCUCCUUUGCGAGCAAAGCCAUAAACCUCUUUUUCCUUUUUCUCAAAACCGUGUCCUUAUCGGAUUGGCAUCAGGAGCCAGGACCAAACUUUUGGUGAAGCUCCAUUCCAGAUGACCCGACUCACACUGUGCUUUGUGUCUGCCCUUUGCUGAAACGCUGGAGUGGGAGAUCCUUGCCACCGACACCCUGGCCCCCUCCCAGCCAGGUGGGCAGCCGCCCUUUGUCUAGGUGUCCAGUCUCCCCUGGUCUUUAUCGGAAAGGCCAGGAAGACCAGGUGGAGCCAGAGGAAGCGCCAGAAGGAACUGGGUGGGAAAUCCUUGCACAACAAAACAGGUUUCACCACAAAACCCAGUGGCCACGUGGCGCCGAACCCCCUGCGUGCAGGGAGACCCCCGUCUGGAGACGCUUCCCUGCACUUCUGUGAGUAUGAGUCCCUCAAGACCCACAUGCUGAAUCCUGAACAUGUGGUCCUGAAGUGGACCUGGUGGGCGGUGCGCGUGACCUGGCUGAACACAGAGCUGGACAGAACACAGGGCAACUGCUCAGCUAAAACGAGACUGUUGGCGUGGGCUCAGCAGUCCUGCUGGCGUCCUCUCCCAGGGGCAUCUGGACACAGGGACACAGCCGCCUCCAUCCUGGACUGCAGCACAAGAAGGCAGGGCUCUGCUCUCCACGCAACCAGGUCCAGAGUGCCGUGCCCUCAGCUCCAGCGUGCUGACACUGCGUCCCUCUCCCACCCACACUGACCAUGGCUUCCCUGACCUGGAUAGGCUGGACUGGGUGCUGCAGGGGAAUGCCACCUAUCUGGGGAGUGGUCGUCCAACCAUGCAAGAGCCCUGGGGUGUCUGCUCAGGAACAGCCAGGUUUGACGCCUGCAUGAGGCUGGGGCCCAUCUGAGAGCCAAGGGAAGCCUGUGUGGGCCCGGCAAAGCCACCAAGUGCCUCUGCUAUGCCACCUGUCCAUUCUGGUCCCUGGGCUGGACUCAAAUGCCUGCACUUGCUUCCCAGGGUCACCUAACAGUGACUCUGUUGAUGAAUGACAAACAUUCAAACAACCACCAUCGAAGACUCCUCUGGACGCAGACCUCUGGAAGUCUCCUGAGCUACAAUAGUGGAUUUAAAGGUGCGACUUUCUGGGCCUGGGGCCUGGGGCCCAAGGGAACUCAGGGCCAGUGGGGCCCCUCCUAAGUGGCCCCAAAGGAUGACGGUGGUUUGCAGAUCCUCUUGAUGUGAAGAGCCUCCAUCUGGAGUGGCCCAUGCCUUCUGCUCUGCUGGGUCCCAGUGACUGGGGCUCCCCUUGGAAUGUGGCCGUGCUUGGAGGCAGGACCGGUGCAGGCGCGACUGCUCAGGUAAGAUGAGAUGCCGGAGCAGGGAGCCCCGUGGCGACCCGGAACACCUGAUGGAGGCGACCUCUGCGGAUUUCCUCACUGUGUGCAGAAGAGAGGAGGUGGGAGGUGGGGGCUGAGCCCAGCUACCUGCAGGCAGCCAGGCAGAUGUGACAGGACCGUCAUGCUGAGUCACUGCCCGCCCAGGUUGAGACAGGGAUCAGGAUGGGAAGAGGAAUACGGAACCUCAAGCCACUGAAGUGCAGAAUCAAGCCAGAGAUGCAGGAAGCGCACUUGUCGACGUGGCCCCACCUGGGCCCCACCUGGGCCCAUGCCCUUGAAAGGGGAGGGAGAUGGCAAGUGCAGGGAAAGGGGGCGUGGAGCUGUGCGUCCUCCCUGGCUCCCCUGGACGUCCUCCUACAAGUAUCGGACACCAGAACUCCUGAGUGGUUAGACACGAUUCUUUAGAAGCCAGUGGUGGGGCUGACUGCUCCCGAGGUUCACGGUGAACCAGGACCGCAGGAUGUGGCUGUAUUUGGAGAUGGUCCUCAAUCAGCAACAAAGGUACCAUGAGGUGGCUUGGGCUGGCCCUGACACCAUCUGAACUGUCCUCGAGAAAAGGGACAUUGGACAAGAGACACAUGCACAUGCAGCGUGGCCCUCAGCCCUGCCCUUCGGGACCCCGUCUGGCCUCCUCCAGGACAGAGGACACACUCCUGGGGUUUGAGCCACCCCUGGGUGGGACCUGGUUCCUGCCAAGCUGCACAGUCCCCACCUGGACUAUUCUGGUCACCAUGGCCACAUCACGCAUGACCACUGUGGCCUGAAAGCUCUGGGGGACCUUUCCACAGACCCAGGGAGAAGAACAUGGCAGUUCUUCAGAACGGCCAGCCCAGCAGGGACUGUCAGGUCCCUCCCGUCCGGGAUGCAGCCAGACCAAAGGCACACAGGGUCACUUCCUACUGGGACAGAGGGAAUCGACACCUGGUCGCCAGCCACACAAGUGCCCUGGUGCCGGGCGCAGGUCCCUAGGAUGCUGCCGGGCCUGGGGGUGGGGGCGGAGGGGGUGCAGAGCCGGGGGCUGCUCCCUGGGUGGUGCCCUCUUGGUGCCUGCAUUGGCCUGGCCCCAGAAGCUGGUCACACAGUGUCUGUGUGUGACAAGCCCAUGAGAGCUCUGACAAGAGAGCCCUGGCUUAGGGUGGACAUCCCCUGCAGGACGUCGAGAUCAAAGGUGCAUUUCUCCUAACACUUGCUCCUGUUGGCACCAGUGCCGAGUGCCGUCCCGAGCCAGGAGCAGAGCUCAGCCGGGCCACUGGCUGGCUCCGGACAGGGCAGAGCCAGCAAACCUGCCCUGGCUCUGGGUCCACACUUCCCAGGAGCCGCUGCUUCAGGCCUCUGACCUUCCAGGACAUGCCCGACCUCGGCUCCCAGGCCUGCGUGGGUGUCACGUUGGGACGCUGGUCUCUGAGGUCCAGUUCAGGCUGAGGCUAGGCCUGGCCCAAGCUCCUCCAUCCGGGGCCCACUGGUACUUUUCCCCCAUGCCUUGGGGGCAUGGGUGGCACACUGUGGGACCAGCCAGGUGGAGGUGAGCCGGAGCCCUGAGCCCCAAGCCCCCCUAGCCAAUGGCUAGAAGGUGGUGCCUCCAGUCCUGUCCAGCCGACUCCCACUGCUGCCCUGUGGGUGGACAAGGAGCUGACCUCCUAGGCAGCCAUCUGGGUCUUAGCUGACCUGUUACCUGGGUUAGUCAGGUGUCCUGGAGGCACCCCCCUGCCUCAGGAAGACGCGCCUUCGGGGUGCAGACUAGGCCGACGAGGCCUCGCACUGACAAGGGGGACACUACCUGAGGUCCAGCCCACGGGGAGAGCUGGUCCCAGGGCACUAAGAUGCUCAAGCAGCGCCGCAGGGGCUGGGCACAGGGUCUGCUGCAGGAAGUGCUCGGUGGACAGCGGCCAGCGUCAGAGGGCCUGGCCCUGGUGCCUCUGAGGCAGCUCGGGUGCGUGUGUGCGGCCUGAUCCACAUCUGCCAGUGGCCUCUGUUUGCAAGGCUGGACGCGGCUCAGUGGUAUUGUCUGAGUUGGAGCCAGUGAACUAGCCAGCUGGGGCUGCGACCCCUGUCCUGCUGUCACCACGGCCGCCUGGCCACUGAGGCCUCUGGGUCCUCCGGGAGUCUUUGGUGAGGAGCAGAGGAGGCGAGGGGACGACUAACCUAACAAAGGCCCCAGAGCACAGCCUGCACCUCCUCUCCACAGCCGCCCACCCACUGCCCCCUGGUGCUGAGACCCACAGACGCCCGGCCCCUGGCUGUGCGGCCUCCGGCCUCCGACAGGCGGGCUCUCAGCCUCAGAACAAGGCCCGUCCUGUCUGCGCGAGUGCCGCACAGCAGACGCUGCCAGGGAGAGUCAAGUGCUCCUGUUUGGGGUUUCCUUUCCUUUCAUUUGAGCUCGGGCGUGACGUCAGGUUACGACAGAGGGAAAGCGUCUGUCAAGCUGGGGCCUGACGAGUGCCCGACCCCACCCCGCCUGCUGCGCCUGCUGCGCCUGCUGCGCCUGCUGCGCCUGCGUUUUCAUGUACUGAGGUUCACGACUAGGAAAUGAUAUUGUCUCCACGUGCAAGCACAUGAGUUUAUCAGCACACACGUGCACACAGGUGUACAAACACACGCGAACACAAAGUUAUGCACAGGCAUUCCCAUAUGUAUACGCAUACACAUGCAUACGCGUAUCACACAAGCACACGCAUACGCAUACGCAUACAGGUGCACAUGCUCACACACCCAUGUGUUUACACAGUAUGCGUGUACACACGCAUGCACAUGUGGACACACAGGGUGCGACAACCCACUGCCCUUUUAAUCCCACAACGACAGUAAUGAGGCUUCAGUGAUGCACAUCUGACAGGGGAGGCUGCACCUUUCCCAGGCACUGCCAGCCAGGCAAGGUCGAGGUCUGCAUCUGGGCCACUGGCCUGGGCACAGCCCAGCACCUUCUCUGCACCCAGAGCCACCCAGCCUCCGCUGUGUGUGGGGACACUGGAGAAGUAAAUGGUGACUGGGAUCCAAACUGAGACACAGCACCAAAGGUCAGGGGUAGAACAAUGAACCGUGUUCACGUAAAUCACAUGACUACAAGCCAACGCCUCGGCAGACAGACAGGAAAGCCACGCAUCUGUGCCCACGUGGGCAAAGAUGGAGGAGAAGCCCAUGAGCAGAGGGCUGAGAGGUGCCCAGGGCCCGGGGUGCUCGUGUCUGUGGAGGCAAGACUAGGACAGAGCACCAUGCCCCCGAGCCAUAGCUGGUCAGCAAGGGCCAUGACGUGGGAAAGGCAGAUGGGCGCCCAAGGAAGGGGUUCAGCUGCACCCUGGAAAACCCUGCUAAAUGGGUUUAGUGCACAACUUGCCUCGCCAACCAGAUGCACCCUGCGGUGGAUCCAGGCCCAGCCACUCAGCCGAGCUAGGACCUGCAGGCAGUCCCAGGCCCGGGGUGGGUUUUCCUGUCUUAGCCUGUUCCCUGAUGGGACAUCUUGAGGGAACUUAAGCUGUGAGGCUGGAUCUUUUUGAAGAAAAAAUACUUUUAGUUGUAGAGGCACACAGUACCUCUAUUUUGUUUAUUAUAUGUGUUGCUGAAGAGUGAACCCAGUUCCUCACACAUGCUAGGCAAGUGCCCCUCCCCAGCCCCCGCCCCAGCCCGUGAUGCUGGAUCUUUGCAGGCCAUGUCUGCAGGACGGAGGCAGGAAGGGGUCCUGCCUCCAGGAAGCCAGCCUGCGAAUUUCCAGAGAAGGGCUGUCACAUUCUGUGCUCUCCCUGGUUUAACUUAGUCACUUAAACAACUGGCUCGUUUUUCAAGGGAAGAAACUAUGGCGCACAGAGAAAGUCUGAAGAAAGGCUUCAUUUCCAGGCAAGAACUGCCUAGCCAAAGAGCCCCAAGUCCUGGAGAUGAAGGGUGAACAUGUCCAUUCAUCCACCCAACCACUUAUGCAUCCAUUCAUCCACCACUCUACACAUCCACCCACCCAUCCCUCUGUCCACCCACUGAUGUGUUCAUCUGUCCACCCAUCCAUCCAUCCGUGGGUGAAGUGGGAAGGACUGUAGUUCACAAUCUGUAAGAACUGUGUGUCUAAGCUAGAGGAAGUCGGAGCUUCCAUUUUUUUUAGGCCAAGAUGGGUUUUAUUUGCAUUAUCAAGUUUUUCUACGGUGUUUUCGGUUGCCUCUACACUGCUGGUGCCCCAAGUGUGCCCCGGUGCCUGCUGGGCCUCCCGGCACAGGCCAUGAUGCCCGGGGCGUCUGGGAAGGCCCAUGAGCCUCAGCUGGAGGCUGGGGCCCUGCUGCCGAGGCCCCCCUGAGAGCUCUGGGAGUGGACUACUGCAUUCCAUGAGAGCUUCAGCUGGACAUUUGGUGCCAAGGUUGAGGAAACCCUGUGCUUCUCCUUCAUACACAAAUCUGUCGUGAGCCUCAGGACGCCCCUCAUGUUGGACAAACUCAGAAAAGCACCUGGAGAGAAGGAGAGGCGCUGCUCAGGUCUCCAGGCCAGCUGCUGGGCGUCUGCUGCUGGCUGUCCUGCAGAGCCGGGGCCUCCCACGCGCUCAGCCCCGGGCCACGGCGCUGGGUUCAUCGGAACGUCCCAGGUGAGCUCUCCUGAGCCCCUACAGGCUGCACCUGACUCCGUGCCAGGAGUCGGGAAGCUAGUGCCACCUGGCUCUAAGACACCAUGCAUGUCCUCGAGCUGGGGACUUCUUGAAGGCGGAUGCCAUGCUGCCUUGCUGGGUGGAGUGUGGAGGCCCUGUUCCCUUCCUGUACCACGGUGGCGGCUCCUCACAGCAUGUCUCUGGGGACCAGGCACCUUGGGAGAAACCCUUCCCCAGCUGGGAGACUGAGGGAGGAGUCGGGCAGUGUGACUGACCACCUGGACAUGGUGGGGUUCAGGCUGCCGUCUGCCAUGUGGUCUCCCUGAAACGGGCCUGGGUGUGAUCUGGACAGUGCUCUUGGGGCGUCUGGGGGGACUAGUGCUUCUAACAAGAGGAGGGGAGUGAGCCCGCGGCUUCAGAUGGACAGAGGAGCUGCUGCAGGCUUCCAGGAGCCAGCAGGGGACAGGGAGUGUGGGCAGCGGUGUCGGCCGGCCUUGCCCAGGGCACACCUGUCCUUCUAACACAGUGGCAACAGAGAACUCAGUUCAGAUGUGAGCAGCCAAGCUGGUGCUAGCCCCUUACCAGGGUCCGUCGUGUACGGUGCCUACGUCUUAAUUCUGGAAGCAGGGAGACUACAGACAGAUACUUCCAGAGCCUUCCAAUUUGUCCACUUUCCUGUCUCUCCUUCACACCCUCCCUGCCCGCACCCAUCCUCUAGAUCCUGGUAAAUUCCUGGCCACCCCAUCGGCAGGAGCAGGAACUCUGGAAGGCCGUGUGAGAGUGCCCUCUAGUGGCUGCACAGGCCAGCAGCAGGCAGCGAGGUGCAGGUCCAGGGAGGAGGAGAGGGUCCCCAGGAGGAAGAAAGAGCUGCCCAGGGGGCGCCCAGCGGGGCCAGGUGCACAGUGUGGGGCACGUGCUCCUGGCUGCGUCUUCCUCUGGGAGACGCCGCUCACUUCCAUCCGCACUCCUCCUGUCCUCUCAGGGCCUCCUUCUUCCUCAGCUAGGCUCCACGAAGACGGGAGGGUGGGUGACAGGUGAGUCCCCUGAGGGUCCGGUUUGGCCCCCACCACUGCGAAAAAGCACCUGCCCUUCUGCGUCUUCCGCCCAUCUCUGGGGUGGCGGAUGGGUCUGGCCGGGGGGCGUGGGCACAUGGUCCCUCCUCCGGGCCAUGCUUCUGGAAAUUGGGUCCCGUGUCAAGAAGACAAAUUCACAUAGUGACCCAGGACAUAGUUCGUCACCAAGAGGGGUGUGAGGUCUGAAUGCUGCGUUCCCUAUGCUGGGACAAACUGUCCCUUUCUUGAACAAGGGCAGCUGAGGCUGAGGUAUCACAAAUAAUUCCUAGGGGCCAAGGACCUGCAGAGACCUUUUCCAAAAGGACAGGAAGGGUGGCAACAGCAGCAGCACCCUGGGCCUCCCCUGGAGGGCAUCACACAGGCAGGGCUGCAGAGGGGACCCUGUCCCUUGGGGAGGGUUGCCAGAGAGAGGCUGCAGGGUGACAGAGACUUCUCCCCACACUCCAGGGACUGGUGCUCCCUGGAGCAAAGGGCCAGCUGCCCAGGCACAGGUCAGCAAGCCCCGGAGAGGGACCUGUCAGCACAGGCGUGUGCUAGAGCCACCCCAGGAGCCCAGGAGGGCAGUGGCCAGCCUGAAGGUGCUCGGGGCUCACAGACUGGCUUCUCGGAGGACGGUGCUCUGAACAGCCAGUCACUGCCCGGUGGGCCCCGCAGGGAUCCUGACCCCCACAGGCAGCCGUGGAAGACGCGGCGCUGUCCCUGGGACAUGUCCUUCCCAUCUUGGUGUGCCCCGCCUGCGUGUCUGAUGUCUGUGUCGGCCCCGGCACUCCUGCCCACCACAGAAGGGCUGGGGGAGACAGGGAGGUCCAGAAACCACACUUCCCGUGUGCCCUUCCAGAAUACCAACGUCCCAGGGCCAGCUCUGCCGGCCACCGGGGUAAAGGGGAGGGGACACAAUUCAAGUGCACAGGAAUAUAGCAUUCCACUCUGACAACCAGUAGUGACCUGAAGGAGGCAUGUCACAAAAACUGGAGUCUCCAGGACUCAGGGAAGGCACCUUGCAGGCUGCCAAGGGCCCACUCCAGUGGACCUGUGCCAUGGCUGAGGCAGCCUAUCCUCCUGGGGUCCCCAAGUGCAGCUAGAAAGGUCCGUUCCCCAGAGGCCCUGGGUGGCCUGCGGUCAACAGAACCCUGAGUGCUGGGAGUCCCCCAGUGACCCCUGCACUGCUGAGAGGCCUCCUGCCUGGGCCUCUGUGACCAGUGUGACCGACAUGCACCGGUUUCCUCCCCCCCACUUCAAAUGCCUGCUGAUGGGGAGGAAGAUCCCAGCAAAUGGCAGGAAACCCUGGACUCCAACACAAGCACACACACCAACACACACGCACACGACUCACAACAACCUCGAAUCCCAGCACAUGCAUUAACACACAGGCACACGCAACAUACACUCAAUACACAAGCACACACAACAUACACUUAAUACACAAGCACACACAACAUGCAAUACCUAACACACCAACACACAAGCACACACAACACACAAACACUCAAUACACAAGCACACACAACACACAAUACACAAGCACACACAAUACAACAUACACUCAAUACCCAAGCACACACAACAUGCAAUGCCUAACACACCAACACACAAGCACACACAACACACAAACAAUACACAAGCACACACAACACAACAUACACUCAAUACCCAAGCACACACAACAUGCAAUGCCUAAUACACCAACACACAACACACAAACACUCAAUACACAAGCACACACAAACACACUCAAUACACAAGCACACACAACAUGCAAAUGCCUAACACACUGACAUACAAGCACACACAACACAAAACUAUCUCAAAUUCAAGCACAUGCAUUAACAUGCAAAGACACACAAGCACACACAACACACAAACACACUCAACCCACAAGCAUGCACAACACACAGAUGCCUAAACAGACAUUGACACAAGCACACAUAACACAGAAACCACAUACAUCAACGUGCAAGCACACAGCCCACAAACCAACUCAACAGGCAAGCAUACGCAUCAAUAUGCAGACACACGUCAACACACAAGAACACACCCCAACACGCAAGCACACACAUCAACACACAAGAACACACAACAAACAACCUCAACAUGCAAGCACAUGCAUUAACACACAAGUAUACACAGCACGCAAGCACACACAACUCACACACACACCACACACAAGCACACACAACACACAAAUACAUAAACACACAUCAAUACACAAGCACACACACACCAACACAUUAACACAGACACACACAUCAACAAAUAAACACAGAUGAACACACAGCACACACAUGGACACAGGAGUGACAGCAUACACCCUACUUCACAAGCACGUGACAUGAGCACACCCACACUGUCCUGCAGGUACCACCUUUUCUUUUUAAAGUCACACGUAUUUUAUUCAGCCUCACGCAGUGUCUUCUGAUUUAUGAUAAUUGUCCAUAAAAGCAAAAACACAGAGGAUUCUAACCCCGCAGUUUCUAGGCGUUAAUGGGCAUAAAAUUAUGCCGUAGUUUUUUCUGAAAAAAAGGGAGGGGAGUCCAAAGCACGUCCUCGUGUUGACCUCGGAGGGCACUGGACGGAGAGGCCGCCGAGAGCCUCACGUGACAGCCGCCCUGAAGCCGCGUGUGCCAGGAGCAGACCUGGGCAGUGGGCACCCCCGCGGGAUCCCGGUGAGCGCUGCCCGGAGGACUACGAGGGAGACUCAUUUCCAUAUCAAACCCGAUUUAGAUGAAACGUCUUGGUUAGGGAAAAAAAAAGCCAGUGUGCAUCAAUAGCCCCUUGAUUAGAUUUUCAUCUCCUGAGCAGACAAAUAUGAAUAUUUAUUACCAUGAAUGAGAUCUUUCCCUUUCCAUUGCUCUGAUCUUGAAUAUUAUCUAUUGCUAAUUUUUAUGAAAAUUUGGGCAACAUAAUGUUUUCACGUAAACUGACAGUUCUUGAGAUAAUCCCGUUAUUGUCUGGUUGGAAAUGACAGCUUCCGCUCAUUCAUGUGUUAACGAGGGAUUAAAUAUUGUUUUUCAUUCCCAUAAUCUAAGAUGGACUGGAAAUUAAAAAUCGAACAUUGUGUAUUA
Long non-coding RNA from Marmota monax (woodchuck), 10747 nucleotides. RefSeq lists it as uncharacterized. Lineage: Eukaryota; Metazoa; Chordata; Mammalia; Rodentia; Sciuridae. The record is from RefSeq and is a predicted model, not a curated record. The transcript is spliced from 2 exons.